AUUGAACGCUGGCGGCAUGCUUUACACAUGCAAGUCGAACGGUAACAGGCCGCAAGGUGCUGACGAGUGGCGAACGGGUGAGUAAUGCAUCGGAACGUGCCCAGUCGUGGGGGAUAACUACUCGAAAGAGUAGCUAAUACCGCAUACGAUCUAUGGAUGAAAGCGGGGGACCGUAAGGCCUCGCGCGACUGGAGCGGCCGAUGUCAGAUUAGGUAGUUGGUGGGGUAAAGGCUCACCAAGCCAACGAUCUGUAGCUGGUCUGAGAGGACGACCAGCCACGCUGGGACUGAGACACGGCCCAGACUCCUACGGGAGGCAGCAGUGGGGAAUUUUGGACAAUGGGCGCAAGCCUGAUCCAGCAAUGCCGCGUGCAGGAAGAAGGCCUUCGGGUUGUAAACUGCUUUUGUACGGAACGAAACGGCUCUGGUUAAUACCCGGGGCUAAUGACGGUACCGUAAGAAUAAGCACCGGCUAACUACGUG
This 482-nucleotide ribosomal RNA is filed under the name uncultured bacterium. RNAcentral's name for it is "partial 16S ribosomal RNA". It matches the Rfam family "Bacterial small subunit ribosomal RNA", at positions 30 to 507 of the family's 1533-position model. The record is from RNAcentral.